GAUGAACGCUAGCUACAGGCUUAACACAUGCAAGUCGAGGGGAAACGACAUCGAAAGCUUGCUUUUGAUGGGCGUCGACCGGCGCACGGGUGAGUAACGCGUAUCCAACCUGCCCACCACUUGGGGAUAACCUUGCGAAAGUAAGACUAAUACCCAAUGAUAUCUCUAGAAGACAUCUGAAAGAGAUUAAAGAUUUAUCGGUGAUGGAUGGGGAUGCGUCUGAUUAGCUUGUUGGCGGGGUAACGGCCCACCAAGUCGACGAUCGGUAGCCGGACUGAGAGGUUGACCGGCCACAUUGGGACUGAGAUACGGCCCAGACUCCUACGGGAGGCAGCAGUGGGGAAUAUUGGGCAAUGGACGCAAGUCUGACCCAGCAACGCCGCGUGAAGGAGAAGGCUUUCGGGUGUAAACUCUUUAAGGGGGACAGUAGAAGAGGGUACCCCUUGAAUAAGCCACGGCUAACUACGUG
This 469-nucleotide ribosomal RNA is filed under the name uncultured bacterium. Its description in RNAcentral is "bacterial SSU rRNA". It matches the Rfam family "Bacterial small subunit ribosomal RNA", at positions 28 to 507 of the family's 1533-position model. The record is from RNAcentral.